AUCCUUUUGUAUUAAUGUAUGCACGACGAUUGGGUUUUUACUAUCGCAUGUGAGAUGUGUCUCCUUCAAGCUUGAUCAUGUCAGCAUGUGAUCAGUCUGACU
Saimiri boliviensis boliviensis (Bolivian squirrel monkey) is the source of this 102-nucleotide small nucleolar RNA. RefSeq annotates it as small nucleolar RNA U13. The record is from RefSeq and is a predicted model, not a curated record. NCBI's taxonomy places the organism in Eukaryota, Metazoa, Chordata, Mammalia, Primates, Cebidae.